Molecule: long non-coding RNA, 2335 nt
Organism: Mus musculus (house mouse)
Lineage: Eukaryota; Metazoa; Chordata; Mammalia; Rodentia; Muridae
Product: predicted gene, 53616
Exons: 2
Source: RefSeq, a predicted model, not a curated record
UCAGGCCCCGCCCCCGGAGAUGCUGAAUCAGAGGCUGGGUGGAGGCCAGGAAGAGCCCGGGCCAGCAAGGCCCCCAGACAUAAAGCAACAUUUCCCCAAAGGACUGACAACUAUUCUAACUGUUCCAGAGGAUUCCCACGGGGAUCUUUUGUUACCCCCCCCCCCCGUGGUUAUUAUACUUCCAGUUGGUGUGUUAUCCGUGGUAAGUUAUUUCUCCGACGGUGAAGUGAGUCAAUUUAAGCCAGGUUAGAUGAUAUUAAAUGCAGGUUUAUCGGGAAGCUUCCCUUGGGCAGGCGAGUUCACUGGCCUUAAGGGCCAGGGAAGUCAACAUGGGGAGAGAGAAGGGGAGUGGGAAGAGAAAGAUACAAAAAGGGCACUAGCCUGGGGGUGGGGGGUGGAAGGGAGAGAGACAGAGAGUCACACAGAGAGAAACAGAGACAUAUCAAGUGUGCAAAAUAUCUGGAUUAUAUAAGGAAGAGCCUUUGGGGGAAGGGCAGGCCAGCUCCUGGGCUGGAAAGUGCAGGGUUGGGGGCAGGGUAUGCCAGGUAGGGGCUGAGGAGAACCAGGAGGCCGGGUCUUCUCUGAUGUGUAAAAUAUGCACCUCAGUCCCGUGUCCUGGGGUCCAAAACCAAACAGCAGCAUGCAAAGGCUUGUGAAGUGAUGGGUUUAGAACUUUCUGAAUAUCUGACCAUGUUAGGUAUCUGAGAAAAGUGCUCUUUGUGCAGAGACUGAGAAAGCAAAAGAAAUUGAAUUAAGUAGGCUCUGGUAUGUGUAAUCGGAUUAUGCCUGACUUCACUGGGAAUCACAGUUGUGGUGGUCUGCAGUUCCCGGCUGAUGAUCUGGCUCCCCGGACUAUACACAGAUGGGAAAACCAACCAGUAUACCUCAGGAUGUCCCAGUUGUCCUAAUGAUUCAGCUGGAGAACUCUCAGAGAGCACUGGGCUGCAUGCAUUACCUCUACAUGAGGGCUGAGGUUUGUGGAGCUUGUGUGCAGCUCGGACCGUCAUAGCACAAAUUUCAGUUUGUUGUGUGCCCAGCCAAGAUACUUACUUCAAAGGGCAUUUAGUGAACUGUCUGUUCUGCUGAUCACGUGCCACGUCCCUCCAGCCCUCUGUUGGAUCUUCAUGCUCUGACUUUUUGUUUCCUUCCAAGAUUUCUUCACACAAACAAAAAAGUGUUAGUGUGUUUCCCCUCCUUGUCCCAUGCCCAGAACGUCAGGAUUUGCCUUCUUGUUCUUUUUCCUCUCUCUAUAGAAGCAAGGCAUCGUCUUCACUGCUCUAUAUGCCUUUGGUUGGUUUCUAAAAAUGAACUACUUGUAAGCCAUGCAUGUGAAUUACAGAUCAGUGUCAGAGUAGGCGUUUGAAUGGAGAAAAAUAAGAUAAAAUUCAGAUAGACUAUUAAAUUCUUGAUUACAUCUUUAGAAUUUGUUAAUGUUUUAGGUAUAUUGUAAACAUGAGCUUUAUAAGAGAUGAUUGAGUCUUUUUUGCAUUAAGGAAGGAAUUGUGUGUGAGUGUGUGUGUGACUUUGUUGGCAGAGUGCUGGCCCAGCAUAGCUUCUGUGUGGAUAUCCCAAUGCUGAGUGUGAAUUCCUCAUGUAGGGUGGGAUAGUAGUGCUCUAGGAAUACAUUUGACUUGGUUGUGGGCUGUUUCACUCUGACGUAGUGGCCUAUACUUUGGAACAUGAGUUUGAUAACUCAUGAGGUCUGCCCGGUCUAUUUAAUUUUGCCUGUUGCUGUUAAUUGCUGGACUGUAGUGUCUUAGGUGGUGCCGUAACGGUGAGCAGCUAGAGGCAUCUGAAGGAAGCAAGUGUGGUCAGUUGGCAUUAUUAUUUUUCUUUAGUUGUGAACCCUGAAAUCAACCCCAGGAUCAAAAGUGUGUGAUGAUUUUGUAUGAAAGUGGCCAUUUAAGACAUGAGCAUGGAGUGUGGACUCAGAAGUAACCUUGGCUUAUGUGGCCUACUCUGUGUAGUUAAAUAGUUCUUUUGACCACGGAAUUGCACUCAUAGUACAGUGCCUGGGAGGGGAUGCACUGGAAAACCAUCAGUAGACACGUUGCUAAGACUUAGAAUCUAUCUUCUGGCAAGCCAACCACAUUGGAUAUGUAGGAUCCCUUACUGAGAACAGUACUGCGUCUUACGGCAGAUCCCUGGUGGAGACGGUUCCUUCCUUAAGGGUCUUAGCAGAGAAAUAUGUCUGUCAGACUAACAGGUAAUGAUGUCAAUCCUUCUUUCUGUUUUUCCUUACAAAGGAGAUUAAAUUAAGCUGGGGUAUCACUGAGUAGGAGGGUGCUUGCCAAACUUGUAUAAGGCACUGGGGCAAACCCAAACCAAACAACAA